ACGCUCGACACCUACGGGGGGCAGCAGUGGGGAAUAUUGGGCAAUGGGCGCAAGCCUGACCCAGCAACGCCGCGUGAAGGAUGAAGGCUUUCGGGUUGUAAACUUCUUUUAUCAGGGACGAAACAAAUGACGGUACCUGAUGAAUAAGCCACGGCUAACUACGCGCCAGCAGCCGCGGUAAUCUGAGCGGGCUGGCAAGGC
RNAcentral lists this ribosomal RNA (201 nucleotides) under uncultured bacterium. RNAcentral's name for it is "partial 16S ribosomal RNA". It matches the Rfam family "Bacterial small subunit ribosomal RNA", at positions 328 to 539 of the family's 1533-position model. The record is from RNAcentral.